ACUCAAAGGAAUAGACGGGGGCCCGCACAAGCGGCGGAGCAUGUGGCUUAAUUCGAGGCAACGCGAAGAACCUUACCUAGGCUUGACAUGGGCAGAAAUCUGGUAGAGAUACCAGGUCCGCAAGGGCUGCUCACAGGUGGUGCAUGGUUGUCGUCAGCUCGUGUCGUGAGAUGUUGGGUUAAGUCCCGCAACGAGCGCAACCCUCGUCCUAUGUUGCCAGCGGGUAAUGCCGGGGACUCAUAGGAGACUGCCGGGGUCAACUCGGAGGAAGGUGGGGAUGACGUCAAAUCAUCAUGCCCCUUAUGUCUAGGGCUGCACACAUGCUACAAUGGCCGGUACAAAGGGCUGCGAAACCGCGAGGUGGAGCGAAUCCCAAAAAGCCGGUCUCAGUUCGGAUCGGGGUCUGCAACUCGACCCCGUGAAGUCGGAGUCGCUAGUAAUCGCAGAUCAGCAACGCUGCGGUGAAUACGUUCCCGGGCCUUGCACACACCGCCCGU
Molecule: ribosomal RNA, 497 nt
Filed under: uncultured bacterium
Lineage: Bacteria
Description: partial 16S ribosomal RNA
Rfam family: Bacterial small subunit ribosomal RNA
Source: RNAcentral